CGAGCGGCGAACGGGUGAGUAACACGUGAGCAACCUGCCCUAGGCUUUGGGAUAACCCUCGGAAACGGGGGCUAAUACCGAAUAUGACCUUAUACCGCAUGGUGUUUGGUGGAAAGUUUUUCGGCCUGGGAUGGGCUCGCGGCCUAUCAGCUUGUUGGUGGGGUGAUGGCCUACCAAGGCGACGACGGGUAGCCGGCCUGAGAGGGCGACCGGCCACACUGGGACUGAGACACGGCCCAGACUCCUACGGGAGGCAGCAGUGGGGAAUAUUGCACAAUGGGCGGAAGCCUGAUGCAGCGACGCCGCGUGAGGGAUGACGGCCUUCGGGUUGUAAACCUCUUUCAGCAGGGACGAAGCGUAAGUGACGGUACCUGCAGAAGAAGCACCGGCCAACUACGUGCCAGCAGCCGCGGUAAGACGUAGGGUGCGAGCGUUGUCCGGAUUUAUUGGGCGUAAAGAGCUCGUAGGCGGCUUGUCGCGUCGACUGUGAAAACCCGCAGCUCAACUGCGGGCCUGCAGUCGAUACGGGCAGGCUAGAGUUCGGUAGGGGAGACUGGAAUUCCUGGUGUAGCGGUGAAAUGCGCAGAUAUCAGGAGGAACACCGGUGGCGAAGGCGGGUCUCUGGGCCGAAACUGACGCUGAGGAGCGAAAGCGUGGGGAGCGAACAGGAUUAGAUACCCUGGUAGUCCACGCUGUAAACG
This 701-nucleotide ribosomal RNA is filed under the name Micromonospora peucetia. RNAcentral describes it as "bacterial SSU rRNA". It matches the Rfam family "Bacterial small subunit ribosomal RNA", at positions 92 to 808 of the family's 1533-position model. Lineage: Bacteria; Bacillati; Actinomycetota; Actinomycetes; Micromonosporales; Micromonosporaceae. The record is from RNAcentral.